This 363-nucleotide ribosomal RNA is filed under the name Spondylis upiformis. RNAcentral describes it as "partial 12S ribosomal RNA". The record is from RNAcentral. Lineage: Eukaryota; Metazoa; Arthropoda; Insecta; Coleoptera; Cerambycidae.
UACCCUAUUAUGGAAAGUGUAAAAAAGAAGAAUUGAUUAGUAUUAGUUAUGUUCUUAAAAAUUAAAGAUUUUGGCGGUAUUUUAGUCUAUUUAGAGGAACCUGUUCUAUAAUUGAUAGUCCACGAUUUAAUUUACUUUUAUUAAUUAACUUAUAUAUUAUCGUAGUUGGAAUAUAUUAAAAGAUAAAAUAUUCAAUUUUUUUUUUAAAAAAAAAGUCAGAUCAAAAUGUAGUUUAUAAAAAAGAAGAAAUGGGUUACAUUAAAUGUAUUUAUUAAUUAUUUUUAUUAUAGAAGUAUGAAUAUGGAUUUAAAAGUAAUUUAAAUUAAUUUAUUUAAAUGAUCUUAGUUUUAAAAUAUGUACAUA